GAACUCUGUGAUCUGAAGGUGGGCAGGGGGCUGGCUGGGAGGGGACUUGAAUGGUGGCUUGGGAAGGAAGUCCUUCUCUGAAGGUGCCCAAGAAAGGGUCAGCCAAAGAGAGCUGCCGACCCAUGUGCGGGAAGCCUAGGGGACGGGCUACAGAGAGCGAUGAAUGGGAGCCAUUUGAAAGAAAGGAUGUGACAAAUUAAAGCGCAAUAAUGACUGUGGCUCAGGACUCAGAGCUUUUAUCCAGCCUUGAGCUAUUCUUGCUCUGCGUGGGGGAGGGAGGGCUGUAGGCUGCUUCGUCUUCCGAGUAAGGAUGUGAAAAUGAAGAGGAGCCUGGUCUGAGGCUGAGGGGGGAGACAGCAGAUGAGUGCGUGGCCCAGGAGCCAGAGGAAAAGGAGCUGAAGAAAGAGCCUGGUGUCACAGAAAAUAGAACAUUAACGACGUCUGCUGUGUUGUAUCUCCAAGCAGGGAAACAACUCAUUGGUCAGAACUACUUGCCUGGUUCAACCACAGGGCUCUGUGGGGGACAGGGCAGUGAAAAGGACCUUUCACAGAGAUUACUCAUAAGAAACAAGGCUAAAUCUCCCCAGAGGAAAACUACAAGGGUCCUACCGCCGGGGUAGUGACGAGCACAUGCACGCGUGAGUCUGGUUGCUCUCAUCUUUGAAUUCUCUGCUGAAAUAGCACGUCCUCACAGGGAACUUGCCCAACCACCCUCUUCAAAGCAGAAGCCCCAGGUUCAUUUCUGACCUAGCAUCCCAUUUAUUUUCUUCAGAACAUGUGCUAUAAUAUGUAAAUAGCUUCUUUAUUGUUCACUGUUAAAUUUUUCUAUCUAGAAUGAAAUGUGUUUAUUGCAGGAAAAUGGAAUCUUGUAAGAACGGUUUGUCCAGAUCACUUCGGGAUCCCCAGCACCUGGCACGUGGUGGCACCCACUAGCUUCUCAAUGAAAGCUUGUUCAAUAAAUGAAUGACCCCCACUAUUGGUGAGAGUGUCUGAAUUUAGACACCGUUUAA
RNAcentral lists this long non-coding RNA (1010 nucleotides) under Sus scrofa (pig). RNAcentral's name for it is "lncRNA (ENSSSCG00045024305.1)". The record is from RNAcentral. Lineage: Eukaryota; Metazoa; Chordata; Mammalia; Artiodactyla; Suidae.